UAAUAGCGUAUAUUAAAGUUGUUGCAGUUAAAAAGCUCGUAGUCGGAUGUCGGGCUCGGGCAGGCUGUCGGCUUCGGUCGGACGGCAGGCUCGGGUCUUUCUGCCUGAGGAUCCCGUUGCACUUAAUUGUGGGGCGUGGGGACGCAGGCCGUUUACUUUGAAAAAAUUAGAGUGUUCAAAGCAGGCCUACGCUUGAAUACAUUAGCAUGGAAUAAUGGAAUAGGACUUUGGUGCUAUUUUGUUGGUUUAUGGGACCGAAGUAAUGAUUAACAGGGACAGUUGGGGCCGUUUAUAUUUCGUUGUCAGAGGUGAAAUUCUUGGAUUUACGAAAGAGAAACUUCUGCGAAAGCAUUCGGCAAGGAUGUUUUCAUUGA
RNAcentral lists this ribosomal RNA (374 nucleotides) under uncultured eukaryote. RNAcentral's name for it is "partial 18S ribosomal RNA". It matches the Rfam family "Eukaryotic small subunit ribosomal RNA", at positions 592 to 976 of the family's 1831-position model. The record is from RNAcentral.